This 321-nucleotide ribosomal RNA is filed under the name Triticum aestivum (bread wheat). Its description in RNAcentral is "partial small subunit ribosomal RNA". The record is from RNAcentral. Lineage: Eukaryota; Viridiplantae; Streptophyta; Magnoliopsida; Poales; Poaceae.
AUGAUUCAAAUUCCUAAAGCAACAACGCAUUACCUUCGUUUGGAAAUAAGGGGCAUGAUUUUAGUUGAAAUUGGAACUAAAACCACGACAAUUAUUUCCGAACGGACGGAGUACUUGUUUUCUACACAACAACUAUGCAUUCAACGAUCUGACCUAUAUUAUAUACAUGUUGAGGUAGAAAAGUGGGUAUAUAUACUUGCUUCUAUUCUGCUCUGGGCAACUAAAUUAACUGGGGAACAUGAAAGGCACACAUCAACUGAUGAUACCAGAAUAAUUGAUUGGCUGCUACACAGGCCAGAUUCUUGCUCUGCUGCUAGUUAA